UCCUCACCACAGAAUGAAAUGGAGCUGUGUCCCUCCUCACCACAGAAUGAAAUGGAGCUGUGUCCCUCCUCACCACAGAAUGAAAUGGAGCUGUGUCCCUCCUCACCACAGAAUGAAAUGGAGCUGUGUCCCUCCUCACCACAGAAUGAAAUGAAACUGUGUCCCUCCUCACCAACAUAAUGAAAUGGAGCUGUGUCCCUCCUCACCACAGAAUGAAAUGACGCUGUGUCGCUAGAGUUAGAAAAGUGUAUGACAUGAACCACGCUAGUAAUAUCGUGACCUUGGAAUUAUAUGGUUUUAUCUGCCAAAAUAUGACUCUGAGAUAAUUAGCUGUAAAGUUCCGAACCCUCAUUGAUUUGAAAGGUGUGAGAAGAAAAAAAAAAAAAAAUACUUGUAUUAUUUUUAACUUAACGACAUGAAUUGGGGUAUACCAUAUAGGUGGAGAACAUUGUCCAGAACAAUGCUACGUCAAUAACGUAUAUGGUAUCUCUGUGUUGCUCACUCUAUCCCAUCUAUCUGUUCUGCUGUGGUGUGGAACCGCCACAGUCACAACAGAGGAGAGUUUUUGUCCCCUGAUGAGUGUGCCUGUCUGCCUGGACCGGACCCCCCUGUGAGACAGGUACAGCUCUGGUCCUGGACACUUUCUUUUAGUUUAUUAGGAUCCCCAUUAGCUGUUGCGCAUGCAGCAAGCUACCCUUCCUGGUGUGUUCAUCUGUCCUUCUGCUUGCUCUUUGGGGUCUAGGUUGGGCUACUGUAAAGCACUGUGUGACAACUGUCGAUGUAUGAAGGGCUUUAUAAACACAUUUGAUUGAUUGAUUGAUUGAUUGGUCAGUUGAUUGGUUGACCGUUCUGAGUGUCUGUCCUCCAGCUGUGUGCUCCCCUAUGUGUCUGAACGCAAGGACUUGUCUUCGUCUGAACACCUGUGUCUGUCCCCGGGGCUUCUACGACGCCCAGUAGAGCUGUCUGCAGCCCUCCCUGUAAGAAUGGGGGCGUAUGCAUGAGAAACAGCGUCUGCUCCUGCGCCGAGGGAUACACCGGGUGGCGCUGUGAAAAAACCACUUGUCUACAGAAGUGUCUGAAUGGAGGAGAGUGUGUUGGCCAUAACACUUGCCACUGUCCUCCAGGCUGGCAGGGCAUGCUAUGCCAAGUCCAGUAUCACUAGUAGUUCCUGCGUGAGCUUGUUCAGCAUCCCAGCAUUAACCAGCCAACACAUGACUUUGAAGAAUGACUCGGGAGUCAUGAGAGGAACGGAAGCACUUAACUCCCUUUAUAGUGAAGUCACCCACUUUGUGAACAGAAGUGUCUUUAUGGGAGCAGAUGUAUCCACCCUAAUGUCUGUGCCUGCAGGAAAGGAUAUUCAGGGGUCCUGUGUUCCCAUAAGAUCCUCAACAGUUCUACAGCUGCGCCACUGAGAGCAUCUUGACUGGCUGCAUCACCACUUGGAAUGGCAACUGCAAGGCACCCGACUGUAAAGGCGCUACAGAGGGUGAUGAUUCCGGCCCAGUAUAUCACUCCCUGCCAUCCAGGACCUCUACACCAGGUGGUGUCAGAGGAAGGACCCCAAAAAUUGUCAAAGACUCCAGCCACUCCAGCCAUAGAGUGUUCUCUCUGCAACUGCAUGGCAAGCAAUAUCAGUGCACCAAGUCUGGAACAAACAGGACCGUGAACAGCUUCUUCCCCCAAGCCAUAAGACUGCUAAAUAGCUCAUCAAAUCGCUACCUGGACUACCUGCAGUGACCCUUUUUCGCACUAACUCUGUUGCACUGACUCUAUGCACACAAACUGGACUACCCACACACUCACACAUACUUACCCUGAAACCCCAACACACACACACACACACACUUAACAUGCGCACACAUGCAUACUGACGCCACACUCACUCACAGACAAACACACACACUUUCACACUAAACACAUACGCUGCUGCUACUGUCUGUUAUCUAUCCUGUUGCCUAGUCACUUUACCCCUAGAUAUAUAUGCAUAGCUACCUCAAUCACCUCUUACCCCAGCACAUCGACUCGGUACUGGUACUGCCUGUAAAUAGCCAUGUUAUUUUGAUUUGUUAUUGUUAUUCGUUAUUCGCUGUGUAUUUAUUUAUUUAAUUUCACUGUUAACCUACACAUGUUGUUUACGACGCGUGACAAAUGUAUUUUAUUUUAUUCUCCCUCUGUCUGUCUGUCUCUCUCUCUUUUCACCCUGUCCUCUGUUAGUCCCCAGUCUCACUGUCUGAUCUCUCUAAACCCUUCAUAUUUACCAAUAAAGUGUGCCUGUACACGUC
Oncorhynchus keta (chum salmon) is the source of this 2282-nucleotide RNA transcript. It is a transcript of the gene named von Willebrand factor D and EGF domain-containing protein-like, with no coding region annotated. Lineage: Eukaryota; Metazoa; Chordata; Actinopteri; Salmoniformes; Salmonidae. The record is from RefSeq and is a predicted model, not a curated record. The transcript has 6 exons.